Molecule: ribosomal RNA, 253 nt
Filed under: uncultured bacterium
Lineage: Bacteria
Description: partial 16S ribosomal RNA
Rfam family: Bacterial small subunit ribosomal RNA
Source: RNAcentral
UACGGAGGGUGCAAGCGUUAUCCGGAUUUACUGGGUUUAAAGGGUGUGUAGGCGGGCUUUUAAGUCAGGUGUGAAAUUUCGGAGCUCAACUCCGAAACUGCAUUUGAUACUGGCGUGCUUGAGGACUGGAGAGGAGACUGGAAUUUACGGUGUAGCAGUGAAAUGCGUAGAGAUCGUAAGGAAGACCAGUGGCGAAGGCGGGUCUCUGGACAGUUCCUGACACUGAGGCACGAAGGCCAGGGGAGCAAACGGG